AGCUCUUUCAACCACAUUUCUCAGCCUCUGAAAUGCAGCAACUGCCCUGGAAGACUCGAGGUGACUGUGCAAGGAGGAGCUGCAGACGGCGUGCCUUGUGGGUCUGGAGGCAGGACUGGAGCCCCAGAGCAGGGUACAGAUGCCUAGUCCACCCCCAGAGGAAAGAAGAGAAAAGAAGAAAACAAAGCCUCUUGGUCCCGCUUCGGCCCUGCUCUGUACCGUCCUCACGGGGUUACUUAGCCCUCGGCGAGGAAGCAGACGCCCACCGUACGCACAUCUGGGUCUACCCGCCUCCCGUGAAGCAAGCCCUUUCUCUGUUCCUGGUCUGAUUUCUGCAGCCUCAGUCAGACCCAGGGCACCUGCUCGGGAAUCUAGAAGACAGAGGAUGGAUAAACAAGCAGCUACUGUCGAGCACGGGGAAUCAUAGCCAACAUCCUGUAAUAAGCCUUAAUGGAAAAGAAUAAACAAAGGAA
This is a long non-coding RNA of Phacochoerus africanus (Common warthog), 473 nucleotides long. RefSeq lists it as uncharacterized. The transcript has 3 exons. The record is from RefSeq and is a predicted model, not a curated record. Lineage: Eukaryota; Metazoa; Chordata; Mammalia; Artiodactyla; Suidae.